RNAcentral lists this ribosomal RNA (1219 nucleotides) under Prorocentrum minimum. Its description in RNAcentral is "partial Bacterial large subunit ribosomal RNA". It matches the Rfam family "Bacterial large subunit ribosomal RNA", at positions 1 to 1243 of the family's 2925-position model. The record is from RNAcentral. Lineage: Eukaryota; Dinophyceae; Prorocentrales; Prorocentraceae.
GCUAAAUAAGAGCGUAUGGGGAAUGCCUAGGCUCUCAGAGGCGAUGAAGGACGUGAUAAGCUGCGAAAAGCUGCGGGGAUUGGCACAUACAAAUUGAUCCGCAGAUAUCCGAAUGGGGCAACCCAGCAUGUUGAAGACAUGUUAUCCGCAAGGAGGCGAACCCGGAGAACUGAAACAUCUAAGUACCCGGAGGAGAAGAAAACAAAAGUGAUUCCGAUAGUAGCGGCGAGCGAAAUUGGAUUAGCCCAAACCAGUAUUGUUACGGCAAUGCUGGGGUUGUAGGACCACGAUAUUUGAACCAUAAUGAAUUAGAACGCUUUGGAAAGAGCGACCAAAGAGGGUGAUAGUCCCGUAUAAGUAAAGAUUGGUAAGAUAGUGGUAUCCUGAGUAGUGCGGGGCACGUGAAACCCUGUAUGAAUCAGUCGGGACCAUCCGAUAAGGCUAAAUACUCCUGAGAGACCGAUAGUGAACUAGUACCGUGAGGGAAAGGUGAAAAGAACCCUGAAUAAGGGAGUGAAAUAGAACCUGAAACCAUACGCUUACAAGCGGUCGGAGCAGACUUGAUCUGUGACGGCGUGCCUUUUGCAUAAUGAGCCUACGAGUUACCGUUGCUAGCAAGGUUAAGUACUUAAGGUACGGAUCCGUAGCGAAAGCGAGUCUGAAUAGGGCGACGAGUUCGAGGGAUAAGACCCGAAACCGAGUGAUCUAGCCAUGUGCAGGUUGAAGGUGCGGUAACACGCACUGGAGGACCGAACCCACGUCUGUUGAAAAAGACGGGGAUGACGUGUGGCUAGGGGUGAAAGGCCAAUCAAACUCGGAGAUAGCUGGUUCUCUGCGAAAUCUAUUUAGGUAGAGCGUCAUCCGAAUACCCCCGGGGGUAGAGCACUGGAUGGGUAAUGGGGCCCCACAGGCUUACUGAUCCUAACCAAACUCCGAAUACCGGGGAGUACUAGAUGGCAGACAGACGGCGGAUGCUAACGUCCGUCGUCGAGAGGGAAACAACCCUGACCUACAGCUAAGGCCCCCAAUUCAUGGCUAAGUGGGAAAGCAGGUGGGACGACCAAAACAACCAGGAGGUUGGCUUAGAAGCAGCCAUCCUUUAAAGAUAGCGUAACAGCUCACUGGUCUAAACAAGUUGUCCUGCGGCGAAGAUGUAACGGGGCUCAAGCCAUGAGCCGAAGCUUCGGAUGCACAUAGUGCAUGGUAGCAGAGCGUAGUG